GAGAGGCACUGAAAGGAUUCCCUUUCUUUUUUCUCGUAUUUUCCAGUUAAAAGUAACUUGUUCAAAUUGGGUGUUCUCCAAUUCCCAUCUCUUCAUUGGAAAUUCUUCUUCUGAAUCUUUUAUGCAUGAAUAACAGGUUUCAAGUUUUGGGGUGUCUGAUUGUAUUUAAAGUUUAGUCUUUUCAUUCUCCAUUGAAAGGAGGAGAGAUUUUAGAGAUGACCUUCAAGAAGGUAUAUCCUCUAUUGUUUGUUAGAUUCUAAUUUCAGAGGGCUUUUGUUUUUCUUAGAUUCUAAUUCCUGAGAAUCCAAUUUUCUGGAACAUUUCUUGGUUGGUGGAAGAAGAAUCUCGUCUGCUUCUUUUAUUUUCAUUUUGAAACAUUGGUUUUUUUAAUUAAUUAUUAUUUUUAUACAUGAUGCUUGCAGUCUUUUCUUCCAAGAAUAUUUUCAUCCAAAGAGAGGACCAUAAGCCAAACCGACGAAGAUUCAUUCAAUUCUUCCGUUGCAGAAUCAGAGUCUACUUCAAGGCUUGGGAGUCUAAAUUUCAAUAACUUCCAGUCUCAGAUGUCGGACAUCUCAGACAGAUGAGACUUCAGGCCUUGGCAUGCUUUCAGGAAGUCACCAACAGAUAUUGCCAAGAAAAGAAAUCUACAUUGUGCCGAAUGUUUAUCAUCAAUGCUGGCCCUGGUUUUAGGUUGCUGUGGAGGACUAGUCUUUUAUCGAUAGA
This is a long non-coding RNA of Magnolia sinica, 723 nucleotides long. RefSeq lists it as uncharacterized. Lineage: Eukaryota; Viridiplantae; Streptophyta; Magnoliopsida; Magnoliales; Magnoliaceae. The record is from RefSeq and is a predicted model, not a curated record. The transcript is spliced from 4 exons.